RNAcentral lists this ribosomal RNA (467 nucleotides) under uncultured bacterium. RNAcentral describes it as "partial 16S ribosomal RNA". It matches the Rfam family "Bacterial small subunit ribosomal RNA", at positions 29 to 507 of the family's 1533-position model. The record is from RNAcentral.
ACGAACGCUGGCGGCGUGCUUAACCCAUGCAAGUCGAACGGAAAGGCCCUGCUUUUGUGGGGUGCUCGAGUGGCGAACGGGUGAGUAACACGUGAGUAACCUGCCCUUGACUUUGGGAUAACUUAAGGAAACUGGGGCUAAUACCGGAUAGGAGCUCCUGCUGCAUGGUGGGGGUUGGAAAGUUUCGGCGGUUGGGGAUGGACUCGCGGCUUAUCAGCUUGUUGGUGGGGUAGUGGCUUACCAAGGCUUUGACGGGUAGCCGGCCUGAGAGGGUGACCGGCCACAUUGGGACUGAGAUACGGCCCAGACUCCUACGGGAGGCAGCAGUGGGGAAUAUUGCACAAUGGGCGGAAGCCUGAUGCAGCAACGCCGCGUGCGGGAUGACGGCCUUCGGGUUGUAAACCGCUUUCGCCUGUGACGAAGCGUGAGUGACGGUAAUGGGUAAAGAAGCACCGGCUAACUACGUG